This 788-nucleotide long non-coding RNA is filed under the name Zea mays. RNAcentral's name for it is "long non-coding RNA (ZMAY_LNC003900)". The record is from RNAcentral. Lineage: Eukaryota; Viridiplantae; Streptophyta; Magnoliopsida; Poales; Poaceae.
AAUAAUCCUUGAUUAUUAUACUAAAUCUAUAUGUCCAUUCGUGGACACAAUAUAUGUUCAGAGCAGCAUGAAUAUACUAAAUCUAUAUGCCCAUUGCAAGUUCUGGUUUUUACUUCAAUGGUAGGUCAAACCGAUUAAGAAGUCCAAUUGGGUAUGUUGGCCCUAACGAUGAUUCAGGAUCAAUACUGAGUUCAAUGUGUGGGGUAUGGGAAUCUGAACUACAUAGGCAACCAUACAAACAUCACUUCUUUUGCUCAACCUAGAAGUGCUGUGGUAUUCCUAGUGAUGAUAUUAGUUGGGGAAGAUCAGGAAACCUUGGCCGUGGAACCGGAGAUAACAACUUUGGCUUGCCUUCUGGAAACUAUGCGAGGAGCGACUCAACUGGUACAAUUGGCGAGCCAUUUCCUGGCAUGAAUCAAUGAAUAUGAAUCAAACAAUCCAGGUGCAUAUGGCAGCAGCUCUAUUUAUGGUGACUCAACGUGGAAAUUCCACUGGGGGAGGGGAUGAUGGGUAAACCUGCUGUGUGUCCGUACUUGUUUGUGGAUGAGCAGCCACCAGGGAAAACAAACCAACAGGAGAGUUGGGAGAGAGAAGGAAACAAUUAAUUAUGCAAACACGGAGGAGACACAAUUUGAAGACUGUUGGUACACCUACGGAGCACGAUGAGGGAGCAUACCAAGCUCGGACCGUCAGACACGCGGAGGACGGACGGUGGCACCGGUGGAGAUGGAGACAAUUGCGUGCCGUUUUUUGUGGAGGGCUUCGUUGGUGUCAGGCGCCGGGUGGAG